Long non-coding RNA from Octopus sinensis (East Asian common octopus), 161 nucleotides. RefSeq lists it as uncharacterized. NCBI's taxonomy places the organism in Eukaryota, Metazoa, Mollusca, Cephalopoda, Octopoda, Octopodidae. The transcript is spliced from 3 exons. The record is from RefSeq and is a predicted model, not a curated record.
UGUAUAUGUGUGUAUGAAGAGGAGGAGACCCCGCCGCUUCGGUCAUGAAUGACCAUGGGAUUGCACCUAGAAAGUUACCCUCCGAGGCACAAGUCCGGGCAAGGUUUUUUUAUGGAAGACCAGCAGUCGCCCAUGCAUACCAGCCUCCCCUCUCCAUGCCA